AACGAACGCUGGCGGCAGGCUUAACACAUGCAAGUCGAACGGUUGUAGCAAUACAGCAGUGGCGCACGGGUGAGUAACGCGUGGGAAUAUGCCCUUUAGCUGGGAAUAACGUCGGGAAACUGACGCUAAUACCCAAUACGCCCUUCGGGGGAAAGAUUUAUCACUAAAGGAUUAGCCCGCGUGAGAUUAGGUAGUUGGUGGGGUAAAGGCCUACCAAGCCUACGAUCUCUAGCUGGUCUGAGAGGACGACCAGCCACACUGGAACUGAGACACGGUCCAGACUCCUACGGGAGGCAGCAGUGGGGAAUAUUGGACAAUGGGGGAAACCCUGAUCCAGCCAUGCCGCGUGAAUGAUGAAGGCCUUAGGGUUGUAAAGUUCUUUUGUCAGGGAAGAUGAUGACGGUACCUGAAGAGUAAGCACCGGCUAACUUCGUGCCAGCCGCCGCGGUAA
RNAcentral lists this ribosomal RNA (451 nucleotides) under uncultured bacterium. RNAcentral's name for it is "partial 16S ribosomal RNA". It matches the Rfam family "Bacterial small subunit ribosomal RNA", at positions 29 to 523 of the family's 1533-position model. The record is from RNAcentral.